This is a long non-coding RNA of Mustela lutreola (European mink), 9295 nucleotides long. RefSeq lists it as uncharacterized. The record is from RefSeq and is a predicted model, not a curated record. The transcript is spliced from 2 exons. Lineage: Eukaryota; Metazoa; Chordata; Mammalia; Carnivora; Mustelidae.
GAUAGGGUCAAAAGUAGUGCAAUUUGUACCUCUCACCGUUGCUCUUUUACCUGCCGACAGGUGUAUAUGAUUAGGGGUCUGCAUUUUGUGGUGAUUCUGUCAGCAGAGCCCAAGGCUGUGGGGGUCCGAGGUUUGGUGGGCUGGCCACUGGAAUGGCCUGGCAGAGCCCCUCUAAUGUCCCACCCAUAGGAAUGAAUGAAUUUGGGUGCAAAUGUAAUUGGGAAGGGAUGACUUCUUAGGUCUCCUUCGAAAUAUUUGCGUUGGCCCCGACCCGAGUGGCCUGCACUCAAUGGCCCGAACCCAUGGCCUCCAAGAAGACAUCUCUCAUUUAUUUGAUCUUUCCUAUCAAAGUAGCUUCACCGCUUAGACUUGCUGAAAUUGUACCUACAUAUUUUUCUCUUUCUCCUAUUAUUUCCCCUUCAUCCCGGCGCCGACAUUGUGCAAUAUGUCGAUCACAAAUAAUGGCUUUUAACCGACUGGGAGAAGGCCUUUGCGUUUCGGCUUCUCGUGAGGUUUUGAUGAAGGGGAAAGUCCGGCGACGGUCAAGUUAGGCUGCAGAAGGCUGGGAGUGUGGCCAUGCAAUUUCAGUUUCCGCAGCGAGGUGGCGCUCCAGGGCACCACAGCGCACACAGCAGCGGGCCGCCGAGCGCUCCGACCGCGUUCCCGCAGCGAGGCAGUGGUCGCCGAGCCAGGUUCCCGUCGGCUUCCUCUCGCUUCGGCACCAAAAGUCGGAGAGCUCUCAGGCCCUCUGGGCCAAGCGGCCCGCAGGGUGGGCGAAGGGCUGAGGCCGCGACCGGGGGAGGCUGGCGGCGGCAGGGAGCCUAGACCCGGCUGAAGCCGGUGCACACUCCCAGCGCUCUUGCUCCGGGGAAUCUGCGAAGUUCUUGGACCCUGGCGGGGCCGAGGCGAGCGUGCGGGGACCUCAGAGCCUCCGGGAACGGCGCGCGGGGCUUCGGCCUCUGCCCAGUUGCGGGGAGGACAGACCCUAACACGCUAGGGAGUCGCCCAACUCCUUCACCCGAGGGUCGGGAGACUUUUCUUCUUUCUUUUUUCUUGUUUUAAGGAAAAAUAAAGGAAAGAAAAACCUUACGCACUCGAUAUUGCUUUGUCCUCCAAAUUAGGCCGUUUUCCUGUUUACUAGGUUUUUCUUUUCUUUCCUGUAAUUUUCCUCUCCUUACCUUUUCGUUCUUUACUGUUUUCCCCUUCCUUUCUUUUCUAGUCUUUCUUAUCUUCUGUCUCUCCAUUUCUAAGAGAUGGUUCUGUGUGAGUGGGUGGGAAAAAGAAAGAGAAGGGGGGUGGCACCAGCCUUAGAGGACCCAGCAUUGGCAAAUGGCAGCAAAAUUGAAGAAGAAACUAUUUCGAUUUAUUGAACGCACUUCCGUCCUAGCGAUUUCGUUUCCACACUUCUGCCUUCCCCCGGUAUCCAACAAGCUCUAGGUCAACGAUGACCGGCAGGUAGUGCCUUUCACCAGGCCAUACCCAACCUGUGGUCGGGUUUUUGAAGCAUAGAAAUAAUAAUAGUAAUAGUCAAAACGAGCAGCAUUUCCAUUCCGCAUCAAUUUCCUCCUGAGUUUGCAGGCUGGCUCUGCGAAGCCGGAGCAACUCGAGCCGCGCGUCGGUUAGGCUGGGCCCUUUUUUCGUUGCACCGGAACGCCUUGACCCGGGAGCGGCCGCCCUCCCCAGUGGCCUCGGGCUGGGGCCAGGGCCGUGGCAGCUGCUGGGAAGCUUUGCUGAGCCAGCACCUACUAUCUACUCCCUACCCAGCCACAGUCCUUUUAGCCGGUCUUUCAGGCCAGCUUACCUUCCUUGAAGUUUUCUAAUGCAGGAAUUUUCGGCCCAAUUUAGAAGUCUACAGAAACUCAGAGGGUCAGGUCAUUAGGAAUGUUAACGUAGCAACCAAGAAUUAUAAACAUGAUCUAAAAGUCUCUUCCAAUUCAUUUCUUCAAGUAUUUAUUUGAGUUAAGUGAUGAAAAGUGACAGUUGUGAAAUAGACAGCUUUUAAAAGUAAUGAAGUCACAUGAGGCUUUAACCUGUCGAUUGCUAUAAAUCAACUUUGAAAAAGACGAAUGAAGAAUAUUAUUUAGGCGCCUAACAGCCAACAUUUGCUGUGCGGGUGGCAGGUCCCAGAGUCGGCCUGUAGGAGCUGCAGGCUGGGGGUACCCCCAGAGGCCCUGUGCUUCGAGUGUGGCCCUGGGGCGGUGGAGUCCCCUGAGACCCGCGGUCUGAAGUCACAUUUUGUUGAGGGCGGGUCUCCAUUUCCACCAAGACUUUGAUCAUGGAUUUGGGCCACCCGAGUAUGUCUGGGCAGGUAACCCAGCCUUUAGCACAGUUGGAAAUUCAGGGACUCAAUGCCACGAUGUAGACUGGCAUUCAGCCUGGAUCCCCAGCUGGCUGUGGGUGUCCACGUCCUCCAGCCCAGCAGCUCGGAAGGGCCAGGGCCUGAAUGACACCCUGAUGUUAUUAACUUUUUGGAAAUGGUGGUGGCAGAGGUGGGGGAAGGGGAAGGGAGGAAGAUGAGCAGGAAAUCAUAUUUCCCUGAGGCUCUGGGGGUGGGGAGGAGGAGUGGGGGCUUUGGGUUAUGGGAGGAAACUCCAGGAAGGAGGGGGACUGGAACAGGCAUUUCGAGGUCUUCUGAUGGGAGAAGGAUCUCAGUUCUACACAGAGUCCAGACGUUUUCUGGAGGGUAAACUGGUGGGGUGUUUUAAAAUAAAUUUUACACACUUUCCUGUGGAUCUCAUUUCCUCUCAAUUUCAAUUUUCGUCAUAGCAGGACUUGAGGCAUGGCCCUCUUCCCAGUGACUUCAACCCCAUGUCCCUAUCCCAUCCCAAGUCUGAACCGGAGAACAUGCCCAGGGUAUCUGGCCUUCUGGGUCGGCUACUUCUCUCUUUCCUCUAACGCUUCCGGAGGUGGGGAGGGUACAGACCAUUCCCCUCUCCUUUGCCGCCUACCGUCGUUACUUCUUAAACAAGCUGGUCAUCCAGUGUCCUCCCUAGACUCCUGGAGCACGAGCAACAGGUGCUGGUGCAUUUCCUCCCUUGAUUCUUCCACCCGUUUCUCUCUCCAUCCUUCUGUCUGGGUCAGCUGGGAGGGCCGGGGGUACCCCUGGUGCUGCUCCCGUUUGAAGGCGGAGAGGAAGCCCGGGCGGGCGAGAAGGCGGUGCCCGCGUCUUUGGGCCAAGUGCCUGGCUGGCUGGCUCUAGGGACGGUCUGUGACCCCGCAUUCGCCUGUCUCAAAAUUCCCAGCUCUUGGCUGGAGGCUGCAACACCGAGGACCCUCUGAAGAUGUGAGACCCAGAAGAAAGUGGAGGUGGGGGGAGGGAGAGUGAAGUGGACCACGCCCUCCCCUGGGACAGACCCUAGCUUCUGGGGGGCUAACUGGGCUGCUGGCUCCAUUCGGCCCCAUCCCGGCCUGCGACGCCUCCUCCCGGCCUGGGAGCUUGGUGCGGACCUCGGGCAACAUCCCCGCCCCACUUCAGGUCCGAUUUCCCUUUUUCUGGAGACCCGAACGCGGACUGGGAGGCUCUCGCCCUAUCUGUGCCCAACUUGCCCUCCGGGUCAGCUGGGGCUGGAACCUGCGCGCCCGAGACUCCACAGCGGGCUGCGCGGCCACCGCCCCCGCCCGCCCGGCUGGCGCCAGGGUGCCCGGAGUCCCAGGCUGGGGCGCCAAGGGCGCGGGGGCCUCCUGGACCCGCCUGGGUGGAAGGUGGGGAGGAGGGACUGCAACUUCCAGCUUCCGGCGGGGCGGGGGAAAGCUCGGCGCGGGAGGCCGGUGGAAACUCCUCCUCCACUCCGCCCCGAGGCAGCCUGGACUCGGCUAGCAGCGCGUCUCCGCCCGCCCGAGCGUUUCCAUAAAUCAGGCCGCUGGCAGGCUGCUAAUUAGCUCAGGCCGAAAAGAAUAGGAAGAGGGAGAGUCCAGUAGUGCUCGGUGGGAUGGGGGGUUGGGAGCGCAGUAGGUGGGAGAUCAGAAUUUCCCCAGGACCCGCGGGCGACUGCCUAGGGCACCUCAGCAGCCCCCCGCCGAGGCCACUGCAGAUCGCUUUCCCCCAGCCGGGGCCUCCAGCCUGGGGCCUCCUAAUCACACGCCUUCCGCACUGCGCGCACCCGGGUGUUGGACCCGGCCCGCCCACCCACGCCGAGGCCCCCUCUCCCACUUGCUGGCAAGCCCGGCGUUAAUUAACUCUCCCCUCGCCCCCUGCAAUACCGAAGACUUUCAAAACUCAUUCCCAAAUGUUUCCUUCUUAAGCCUGAAGCCUGCGUUUGGAACAACCGCCAGGAAAAGAGGGAGCUGGGUCUGGAAGGAGGCCCGCCGGGUUUCUGCGCCCCUCCCAGUCCUCUCCGCCCUCCGCCGGGAAGGGACAGUGCGAUGACAUCACCGCGGAGACCCGCGGCCUCCCCGCCCCCGGCCCCGGGACCCUGGAGCGGAGAUUGACAGGUGUCGCUCGCAAGGACAAUGCCUUCCAGGUGUCACCGUCACAGUCUCAUCCCUCCUAACCCACCUUCUCUGCCCCCUUCCCUCACAACGCUCCUACCCACCCCACACCCCUCCUUUUCUCUUUGGAGGGAAGCGCUCUCCUCCUCCCCCAGCUCUGCUCAUCUGGGCACCGGGUCCUGGAUCCAGAGAUGCGGGCCCGGAGAGGUCGGCACCGAAGGGCAGGGGUGGCGGAGAUUCCGCCUGCUGUUUGCCUCAAGGCGGCUGGAAGAUCCCUGAGCUCCGGGAAGGGUCCGAGCCCGACCGGGGGCAGAGAGGGAACGCGCGUGUAUUUUAAAGGAACCUGCGCGGUCUCUGGGCAUCCUACCUUCGCUCUCCACCCGAACCCCUCCCCCCCACAUAAUAUAACAGACGCUAAAAUAAUCCUGCCAUCUGGCAAAUCCCAAAUUUGGCGACCUAGCUAGGAAAGCAACGGCGAGGUGUCAUCUCGGGAGUUGGUGGCUGGUCCUGCCCGGCUCUUCCGAGCAGGGCCAAGGGCGCCGAGCUCUGCCUGCACCUGCCCCCAGCUCGGCCGGACCGUCCUCCACCCCCAUCCUUGCCCUGCCCCUGCCGACUUUGUGGAGCUUUCCUCUCUCCGGGUCUGGGCAUCGGCUCGGGGUGGGGCUGGGGAGGCGGGAAAGGACUUGCACGAGUUAGGGCUUCCGCUCUGGUUUCCACCAAUACUGCUCAAUGAGCUAAAACCCAAAUUCGGCUUCAUUAUUUAACACCGAAUGUAAUUUAUAGCCGGGCCGCCUGUCGGGGGCGAUUUACAUCAUUUGGUGCUAAGGAUCACACAUAUUAGAUUUCUUCAAAACCGAUGGGGGUUUUCUUUUACUUUCUUCCUUUUUUUUUUUUUUUCCUUAUUUCUUUCCUUCUCCUUUCUAUUUUUUUUUUUUUUAAAGGAGGGCAUUUGUACUAAAUUGCCCAGUGCUGGUGUGAUAACUGUCAAAAGUUUGACAUCAAAGGAGCUAAUAUUAUUCAGUUACCAGAGAAGCUGUCUGUCUAAAUAAGAAUAUCUUAAUUACUGCAUCACAAAGGUAGGAAAGGGGUCGGAUCUGAAAAGGGGAGAGGCAUUCAGCCGCUGCUUUUGAUGGGCUAUCUGUAUUAGACCGAUGUGCCUCUCCUAAUCAGGCCUAGUCCGAUUUCCUUUCCUCUCCCCGUCGGUCCUCUGAACUUUAUAACUAUAUGUAAACACGUUGUCAGUGGGGACCUAAUCUUCUCGGGUUCUUAUUAGAAGAAAUUUCCAUCCUCUCUCGUUCUAGAUUAGGCGGUGGAGUCCUCUCCGUCAAUGAAGGGACUAAGGUUUCGUGGACAAUAAUGUGGCAAUUGUUGAUGGUUUGUGACCCAUAAAAUGUGGAGGUGACUGUUCUGGCUUUGGUAUGUAAUUAUGCAAAACACUUUCCAUAAAGACUUGCCAUUCGAUCUAAUGGCAGUCCCUGCGGUCUAUUUCAAAAAGGGAGGGUCUAUGUACAGAGAGAGAAAAGUAACAUUUGUUUUAACACAGGUUUUAUGGGGGGGAUGGAUGAAUACAAACACAUCGCAACACCGCCCAAAGUAUUUUUUGGAGUCAAAUUAAAAUAAUUACGAAGGGGUUUAAUAAGUUAAUCAUAGCAACACGGCCCAGCCAAACACAGGGUGUGUGGGGGGGGUUCGGGCUACAACCCACCACCUCCCGACCUGAAUCUGUACUUGAGGGUGGCGGUUCACCUCCUGCUUGUGCAGGGGUGGCUGGCGACACUGUCUCAACUCAGUCCACCUGGGUGCCCAGAUGGGAUCUGAAGCCCCAGUUGGGGGCUGAGAUUGGGAGAGGGGUGGGCCGUGUCAUCCACCCCAAAAUCUUGUCUGUGGAAUUAUUUGGCAGAGGGCGUGUUAACAAAGCAGUCCUCUCCCGAGAAGCUCCCCUCUUUCCCUGGAGUGUCCCCAGUGCCCCAGAUUUAGGGAUUUCCCCAGAAAGGCAGGUAGGAGGGAGUGCCUGGCUGAUUUGGGUGAGAAGUCUAAAUCCUGAGCUCAGGCUUAGAGACUUAAGGACUGGGGCCGAGUCCCAGCUGCUGAAGCACCUUUGGAAGGCACCUGAGGAUUUGCUUUAUGUGCUGGUUUAAAAAAUAAUAAUAAUGAUGAUGAUGAUGAUGAUGUUGUAGUAAAGAAUUUAAAAGGGCCUGAGGAGGAAAGGUGGAAUAAGGGAGGUCAUCACUGGUCCCGACCCAGCUCUGGCUGCUAGUUAAAAGCAAGCCCUUCUCUGUCACCUCAAGGGCCCCCAUCCCGCCUGGAUCGGUGCCCCCCACACUCGGAACCACUCAGCAUCCGGCUCUGCAGCCUCGCCGCCCAGCACACAGUGGCACUGCAGCGUGAGACCCGCAGAAGCCGGCGAGAGGGGAUUUUUCAAGGGGGAAAAAUGAUUAAAAGAGAGAAUCAUCUAAAUAUCAAAGUGACGCAUGGGAGACCUGGAAAAAAUAUUUAAUCUAAUGAAAAGCAAAUAAAGAAGGAGGCACUUAGGCUGGGAAAUUAAAUAUUAUGUUUAAGAUGGUGCUUUUGUGCGGGCUUGAAGAUUUCCGAUUCAUGUACACAUAAUAAACACUCAGGUUUGUCAUCUGGAGGUGCAAAUCUGAAAGAUAUUCCAACAAAUGAAGUGCUGGCAGAGAGAGGAAUAAAGAGAUCGGCGCCUGUCAGGGGUCAGGCAGCCUGAGAUUGCUUCUAGAGAUCUUUUGAAAAUUUCACACGAUUGAAGGCUUAGGGGCUUCACUGCGCUCGCAUUUCAAACUCAGAUCAGUGGGAUCACAAUCAAAAAAUAGAGGUCUGGAAAAUUUUGAUGCAAAGAUGGCCACGGGCUGUAGGGUUUCUCUCACCAGUUCUCUCUCUCUCUUUUUCUUUCCAAGACAGAUACUCCGACAUGGUUGUGAUCCUUUGGAUGACAGAGUUGUCAGAAAAGAAAGAGAAAAUUGCAUCUUGUCUCAUAACUUCCUUUUAGUCAAAAGGAAUUUAGGGUCUUCUUUCCAAUAAAAUGGGGAGGGGGUUAAUGAUUCUUUUCUGGCUAGUAUAGGACAACAUCUCAAGAGUUCGGGAUUUCACAAUUAAUGAUUGACUCCUGGACAUUUAGGUUUGGCUGUCCUCUUCAUUUUUCUGGCUUAUUAAGAGGAUUUCCCAUUUAGUGUGUGUCCCAGCAUUACACUGAAAUUUCUUAACCACUGUCCAUUGUAGGCAAGAUCAGGUGUAUAGAUCUGAGCGUAUACUUACAUAUCUGUACGCACACACAACGCUAAUCUCUAAACAUGGAGACAGGCCUGGCUGCCUUCUUAUUUUGUGGGAGUUAAUAUUUUGCCCACCUCCCAAGAUGUCAGCACUUUCUGAUUCAAACGGGACACAGAAAAAUCAAUUGUCUCUGUGAUUGAUCCACCAGGGGAAAGAAAAUAAAAGGAACGGGGGUGGGGGGAGCUUCUAUGAGAAAAGAUCAAACUAAGGAACUCUGAAAUGGGAGCAAGCUUGGUAGAGGCAAAAAACUGAUUAGACCUCAAGAGCUGGAGACCACUUUCCCAACAACCAGAAGCAAUAGGAAUCACCUCAAAUUAGUUUCUACUGGUUUAGCAAACUUUAGGAAGAGUAAAAUGUGGACCAAUUUAUCAUCGCUUUGCCAAUUUUAAUUUUUAGCUGGCCGUCUUAGACAAGCUAGAGGUAUUCGGGGGCAAUAAUCUGAAUCAUAGUUGGGUUUCACUAACUCCGAGACAAAGAUGAGCAAAAGUAAGAUUCUCAAGAACUUCCCUUAAGUGUAUAUUAGGAGAUCUCUCCUGGGGAGUGACCCCACAGUGAAGAAAAAGUCAACAGAAAGAAGGUCUCCUGUUUCCUGGGUUAUGGACUCAAACUGUUAAUAACCUGGUGGGCAGGAACGGAAAAGUUUAAGAGUUGCACUGACUGGAUUUACAAGUUCAAAUCCUUGGCUCCUCCAGUGUUUGUCCUUUGGGCAUGGGCUGCGAACGCCCCAGAAUUGAGCGCCCCAGGUCGCUGGGCAGUGGGACAAGCCCCAGCUGCUGCAACUCUGAAGGGAGAACUCGGCCAUGGGUGCCCUGGGUUUGGUGCUCCUGGAAGGAAGGGGGAGAACAGUGGAGAAUGUGUGCCUUUCAAGUCCCAUAUUUAGAGCUUUUGUAGAUGGAAGUAGCCAAUUCCAGCCGCAGAACUGCCUGCCCUGGGACUUUGGAAAGGGCGUCCCUCUGUGUGCAGGGCGGCUUCUGCCCUCAAAAUAUGCUUCCCUAUCCCUCCUCCUUCCUCAGAACCACAGUACAGGCAUAGAGAGCAGGUUCCAAGUAUAACUUUUAGAAACUCGAGCAGAGAUGCAAACGAAGGGGAGCUUUCUCUUUACAGAAGGGCCGCCCACAGGGCCCUCGAUCUCGCUCUUUCUCGGUUUCCCAUCACGGACCAAGCCCCCCAGCUGGGCUUUAAAAAGCGAGGUUUUGUGCGGUGAAUAUUCUACCGGGGCCUUUCCUGGCACCCCGGGAAGCGCUUGGAGUGAAAAGGGGCCGGCGGGAUAACCGAAGGAAGCGGGGGAGAGCCAGGAAGGGGUCCCAGGCUGAAGUGGGGGGUGGUACCCUGCCUCCUCGGGGCAGGAGCCGCGCCCGGGCCCAGCGGGGAGAGGGCGUACGCCCGGCCAGGGUUCCGCUGACACCCACGCCCCCGCGGGCGUGCUGAGGGCCCAGGAUUUCCUCUCAACCAGGCCGGAGAAGGAUUCCAGGCUCCUCGGGUGGAAUGCGGGAGGUCUUGGGAGGGGGGUAAUUCUCCCUGCAGAAUGCAAAGCUGGCAGGAGCCUCGGUUAAAAAAAAAAAAAAAAAGAAAAAGAAAGAAA